This 29-nucleotide non-coding RNA is filed under the name Rattus norvegicus (Norway rat). Lineage: Eukaryota; Metazoa; Chordata; Mammalia; Rodentia; Muridae. The record is from RNAcentral.
UGGGAUACACUGGGAACUAAGCUGUGAAC